RNAcentral lists this ribosomal RNA (383 nucleotides) under Klebsiella pneumoniae. RNAcentral describes it as "partial 23S ribosomal RNA". It matches the Rfam family "Bacterial large subunit ribosomal RNA", at positions 1552 to 1915 of the family's 2925-position model. Lineage: Bacteria; Pseudomonadati; Pseudomonadota; Gammaproteobacteria; Enterobacterales; Enterobacteriaceae. The record is from RNAcentral.
AAGGCUGAGGUGUGAUGACGAGGCACUACGGUGCUGAAGUAACAAAUGCCCUGCUUCCAGGAAAAGCCUCUAAGCAUCAGGUAACAUCAAAUCGUACCCCAAACCGACACAGGUGGUCAGGUAGAGAAUACCAAGGCGCUUGAGAGAACUCGGGUGAAGGAACUAGGCAAAAUGGUGCCGUAACUUCGGGAGAAGGCACGCUGGUGUGUAGGUGAAGUCCCUGCGGAUGGAGCUGAGACCAGUCGAAGAUACCAGCUGGCUGCAACUGUUUAUUAAAAACACAGCACUGUGCAAACACGAAAGUGGACGUAUACGGUGUGACGCCUGCCCGGUGCCGGAAGGUUAAUUGAUGGGGUUAUCCGUAAGGAGAAGCUCUUGAUCGA